GCCCUCGUAGCUCAGGGGAUAGAGCAACCGCCUCCUAAGCGGUAGGUCGUGCGUUCGAAUCGCACCGAGGGCGCCA
RNAcentral lists this transfer RNA (76 nucleotides) under Microlunatus soli. RNAcentral's name for it is "tRNA_Arg_CCT". It matches the Rfam family "tRNA". Rfam says of the family: Transfer RNA (tRNA) molecules are approximately 80 nucleotides in length. Lineage: Bacteria; Bacillati; Actinomycetota; Actinomycetes; Propionibacteriales; Propionibacteriaceae. The record is from RNAcentral.